Molecule: long non-coding RNA, 5484 nt
Organism: Pan troglodytes (chimpanzee)
Lineage: Eukaryota; Metazoa; Chordata; Mammalia; Primates; Hominidae
Exons: 2
Source: RefSeq, a predicted model, not a curated record
CUUCUGCGCCCCCUCCCGCACCCCCUCCUGUUUGCCCCCCCUUUCCUGCUCCAGCCCCCUACCCCUCCUGCUUCCCCCUCCUGUUGCCCCCUGCCAUCCUCCAGCACCCACCUCCCACACAGUCCACCCACCCACUCCAGGCUGUCAACACCGGCUCAGACCCUGGGCUCCUAGCCUGGCUCCUGGCUAGCCCAACCUGGCUGCGAAGGCAACUCCAGUGAACGGAGCCUUGGAUAGCCUGGGGGUGGGGUCCUCCGGAGCUUGGUCCAGCUCCAGUUUAGGGACCUAACCCAGUAGAGAGAGUCCCCCCCACCAUGACAAAUACCACCCACGAAGACCCCAGUCUCCUCCACACCUGCCCCAGGAGUGCCCCGCGGCCCCUGCCCUGGAACCCUCCCUUCCCUCCUUGGGAAAUGUUCCAGAAGCUCACAGGGUGAUGCAGGGAAGGUGGAGUUCCAGAACCCACCAGGCAGACACCAGGAUACCACUGGCCAGCACCUGGCGCAUUUCUCAACAAAUGACUCAUGAAAAACGGAACAAUCAGAUGUCCGUCAAUGGGGAAUUGGGCUAAAAUGCUAUGGCACACAGGUGCAAUGAGUCAGCCUUUAUUCCUAAUCACCCACAACUGCUGUACGACAACAAAGCAGAAACACAGGUGGUGUGGGCAAACACGGCCACAGCCUCUUGUCACGUGGAAAAUGGGUAUGGCCUGGCCAUGUUUUAGCAGUAUGCCUGUCUAAUCCUAAAAGGCAGCUGGAGGGGAGUGAUGGCCUCCGGGCUGUGGGAUCACGGGGCUCUGUGGGUUCAAGGAACGCAAGCCCAACCUCUCCAGCCAUUUCCAGUGAAGCCAGUCAUGCCCUGGGGUGGCCCAGGGUUCUACCCCUUUGCCCCAUGAACUCUUCUGGGCAGAAGCUGUAGGCCUGGGACCCUCCUGGAACGUCGCCCAUCCAGCACCAGCCCUUGCAGAGGUGGGUGUUCCUCUGGCCUGGGUGUCUGGAGCUGUGCCUGCUCCACACUCUCACCCCACUUCCCACCAAAGGGAGCUCAGGGCUGUGGAUGGUGCUAGGUCAGCUGCCUCCCUGGGUCAGUGGGUUGGAAGGUAGGAAACCAUCACCUCCCCAGAAGAUAAAAUAGUUCCCAGGCAUCCUUAUGAGGAGGGCUGGCUUUGCUGAAAAGAUCCAGGGGGUGGGAACAGAAGUGCCCAAUGGGGUCAAUUAUAGGGUUCACACUUAGGGUGCUGGGUAAACCCUCUCCUCAGUCACCCCAGCAGGGGCUUCUGUACAUUCAACCCUGGUCGCCACCCAGCGCUAUUCCCGAGGGUUGGACAGAGCUCAGGGUGGGCACGAGGCCUUCCCAAGUGAUGCCAGCAGGAGCAACAGAUGUGCAGGGCUCCCGUCGCACGUCCAAGCUCUGCUUCACAACCCAGGACCCCAGGGCCGGCUGCCCGCCAUGUGCUGGCUGUGGACCUUCAGAGGAGCUGGUUUGGAGGGUCUGUGGCCAGGGCCAGCUCCCGGACUCAGGACUCAUCAGCUUCAUUUUACAGAGGAGGAAACUGAGGCCCAGGAGUUUAGGGUCCCGUGGCAGCUCCGAGGGUGGUCUUCUCUGUGAUUACAAAACCUUGACUAGGAUCAGGGGCCAUGGCUGAAGCACCUGGGUGGGUGCCCAGCCCUGCCAGGCAGAAGGCAGGUGGCUUCUCUUGUUUAAAUCUUAGAUCUUACUUAUGGGAGACCUCGGGUGGGGGGUGAGGUCUGCCUUUUGCAUUCUAAUCAGGUGAGUCACAACAGGGAUCAGCACCCUGUAAGCACCUGCGGGUCAAGACAAAGACCCUUGCCGGAGCCCAGAAGCCGCUGCAGGCCCCUCCCAUCCCAUCAGUAGCCCAUCCCUAGGGGUCUGGUGGCCUCUCCCUUCACUCUGUGGGUUUCCGUGUCCACGUAUAUCCUCCCACACGGCAGCCUGGGGUUAAAUGUGCGUUGUGUGACUUUCAGUGCCCUCUUCCUACCCACCUCCAUCCCUCUGUCCUUUUCUGUACCCGGCACCUGUUGUAGGAAGUGGCCCUCGGACACGUGGAGGUACUCGAGGCCUGGGUUGGAGCUGCAUCUUUCGGUGCAGGCCUCUGCGUCUCCUGGAAGUGGGCACCUGGAGCCAGGGGCCUGCUGGGAUCCGGGUCCAGUCCCCUGGCAAGGCCGGGGGCUCGCAGAGGGAGCCACGCACUGUCUGGUGGUAGCUCCUCCAUCUGCAGUCGUUGGUGCUUGAUGUCUGAAUCGACAGAUUCAUGGAGCAAAAUGGUGAUUUUCCAGUGCGUGGUGGCUUCAUGAUGAAUUCACUGGAGGGAGAGGCUCGUCUUGUCCGUCUGGCCGUCUGGAUAAUGGUGCCCACAGGAAAGGCAGGGCAAGGGUGCCUCUCCCUCAUUUGUCGGUUUUCACAACGGUGAAUUGGUUCCCGACAAUCUCCCAAGUAUAUUUGUACAUCGCUGAUGAAACACAUUGGUGGGUCUCAGUCGAUCGCCAUUAGUGCCCUUUCCAAGCAUCGGCGUCCAGCUUUGCCCAGGGGAGUCUCUUCAUAUGCAAUCUCGCGUCCUUAUGAUGUGAGCCUGGUCAUCUGCGAUGGCCUCUUGGCCGUGUGCAGGGCACAGCCAGGGGAACCCUGGGAUUUAGUGCGAAAGUGUAGCCGAUGGUGGUUACAUUCUGUGUGUAGAUUCUCGGAACAGUCCCUGCUGCCUGCCACCCUGGGGUGGAGUUUCUAAUUGAUUAGGACGGACACCCAAUGCCAGCUUCCAAGCCAGGAGGCCGCUCGUGCCCACGGCUUGGAAUCAGGGCUGUGGCCUGGGAGGGCUCUCACCAGACGCAGGCUGCCUCCAGGUGUCUGUGUGCCUCUGCCCACGGAGCUUCUCCCCAGGUCCGCGGGUCCCCCCAGUCCACUUCUGCUUUCCUGUUAGGGUGGGGGGCUCAUCUCCUGGUGCGCCAUCUGCAUCCUUCUCGGCUGGGAACCUGCUGUCGGGUACCAGGCAGGGCGCACCUCCAGGGCUGAAGGAUGCAGGUGGGGCUGGCAGGCAGAGUGUCUGUGGAGAGCUCCGUGUCCAGGGAAGGGGACACCUGGAGGAGGCCGGCCCUGGAGGCCCCACACUCCUUCUCACCAGAAAGCCACCCGCCUUCUGCCUGGCAGGGCCGGGCACCCACCCAGGUUCUUGCCUGUUGGCCUGGCACCCAUGGUGAGUGGGGGAGAGAGCGAGUAGGGCAGAGCAGAAGAGAGAGGGGAGGAAGGAGAAUCGGGGGAAGGGGGGAGGGAAAGAAAAGAGGUGGGAAGGGAGGAGAGGGAAGGGAAGCCCCAGUUACCCAAGGCUAAAGUUAUUUUUAAAAAACAAACCUUUUUUUUUUAAGUGUGGUGAGCCUCUCCUGGCAGGGUGGGGUAUGUGGACAUCAGUGGAGGAAGCAGAGGCUCCGGCCACCUGUGGGACCCGCACUCUCCCUGCCCAGGAGUCCCACCAGGGCCGAGAAUUCUGCCCAUGGCCAGGGUGGCCCUAAAUCCCCACAUCCGCCAUCACCUGUGGGGGCUCGAAGGGAGCUGUGGUAGGCAGGGAUGACAGAAGACCCCAGCCACAGCCCCAGGCCCACGGCCGCAUCUCCCCUGAAGAAGCAGCCCUGUCCCAAGGGUUCUGCAAACAAUGCCAGGCUCUUCCCAGGCAGGCACCGCAAGCUGCCCCCCCCCCCCCCGCCCUGAUCCCUGGCUUGCCCAGGGCGGGGCCCCUGGGCCUGGUGGAUGGUGGGCCUGGCCUGGCGCUGGGGAGCCUGUCUGCACAGUGGCCAGAGCUCGUCUGAGACCAUCUGUGUCUGAGACUGUAAGUGACGCCAACAGAAGGUCAAGCUUGAGCGACAAAGCUCUCAGUCCUGUAAUUCACGGACACUGAGUCUUCGCUCAAGUUCCCUCUGGAAGAUUCCGUGGAUGAGUCCGACACACUCUUCCCCUCACUCAGGAGGCUCCAGGAUUUUUAGACCACGUGUGUGGCUUUCCUUCUCUCAAAGUGUAACUCACAUAAUGUUACUCAGAAUCUCACACGGACGCCCGUGAGUUGCAGACACAGGGAAGGUUCGCAUCUCCUCUGAAGUCCAAGCUGCCCAGAAGCCCACCCACCCCCCGCCAGCUCUCGUUCCUGCUCCACAGGUGACUUCUUUCCCGUGAACCUUGGGCAAAUGUUUGUUGUCGGCUCAGGGGGAAAGGCCAUGCCAGGGUCCAGAUGGGCUCAAAACCUCCCAACCUGGCAGACACGCAGCCCUUCAGAAACGGAAGCAGAGCGCAGCACACGAUGUGGCCAAUCCUCUCUCAGACGUCAUAAAGAGCUGGGUUUGGAAGACGAGGCCAACCCUCAUGGAUGCCGCCCCCAACCCCGGCAACACCAUGAGAUCAGGGAUUUGCUGGCUCUGUCUCAGAGCCGCAGAGGGUCCUGCUCAAACCCCAGAGCCACGGGGAUGGGCUGGGGGGCUGGUGGGGGGCGUACUGCGAGGGGCCACUGAGCAGGCUGGGGUGAGCUGGGCCUGGUCUGCGGGGGUGGGGGUGCAGCCUUCGCUGGGGAGGCAGCCAGGGAAGGGGUUCCUACCAGCCCGAGAUGGAGCAACGAAGCAACUAGUGAAGCCAAGUUUGCAAAAUUAUCACCGUUGGUGGAAGGGUUCCGACCUGACUCCAUCUUGGUUCUGACCUCCAAGCUGUCCUUGUUCCUUCCUGGGCGUAGGCUGAACUAACUUUGGGAGGAACUUAGUUUAUAGUUAAAAUAAACCUCCUUCUUGCCUAAGGGCUAGACUGCCUUUGUAGGAUUAACAAAUUAGCCACAAGAUUAAAGAAAUUGUGGUUUAGGAGUCAUGCAACUGGAGGCUACACGAUUCUGACCCUCCCUAAACUGCUCCUAAAAUCCAUGCUUGAGAUGUUUUGCAGACCCUCGUUGCGCUAGAUGGAUCAGCUGGCACCACCCAGAUCAAUAGACUGGCUCAUCUGAUCUUGUGACCCCCACCAGGAACUGACUCCGCACAAAAGGACAGCUUCAAUUCCCUAUGAGUUCAUCUCUGACCUGACCAAUCAGCACUCCUGGCUCGCUGGCUUCCUCACCCACUAAGCUGUCCUUAAAAACUGAUCCCUGCCGGGCGGUGGCUCACGCCUGUAAUCCCAGCACUUUGGAAGGCUGAGGUGGGUGGAUCACGAGGUCAGGAGAUCGAGACCAUCCUGGCUAACACGGUGAAACCCUGUCUCUACUAAAAAUACACACAAAAAAAUUAGCCGGUCAUGGUGGCAGGUGCCUGAAGUCCCAGCUACUCGGGAGGCUGAGGCAGGAGAAUGGCGUGAACCCAGGAGGUGGAGCUUGCAGUGAGCUGAGAUCGCGCCAUUGCACUCCAGCCUGGGGGAUAGAGUGAGACUCCGUCUCAAAAAAAGAAAAAAAGAACUGAUCCCAAAUGUGUGGGGAGACUGAUUUCAGUAAUAAUAAAACUCCGGUCUCCCGCA